CGAACGGGUGGAGUAACACGUGGGCAACCUGCCCAAAAGAAGGGGGAGUAACACUUGGAAACAGGUGCUAAUACCGCAUAACCAUAGUUACCGCAUGGUAGCUAUGUAAAAGGUGGCUAUGCUACCGCUUUUGGAUGGGCCCGCGGCGCAUUAGCUAGUUGGUGGGGUAAAGGCUUACCAAGGCAAUGAUGCGUAGCCGAACUGAGAGGUUGAUCGGCCACAUUGGGACUGAGACACGGCCCAAACUCCUACGGAAGGCAGCAG
Molecule: ribosomal RNA, 264 nt
Filed under: uncultured bacterium
Lineage: Bacteria
Description: partial 16S ribosomal RNA
Rfam family: Bacterial small subunit ribosomal RNA
Source: RNAcentral